This 252-nucleotide ribosomal RNA is filed under the name uncultured Lactobacillus sp. RNAcentral's name for it is "partial 16S ribosomal RNA". It matches the Rfam family "Bacterial small subunit ribosomal RNA", at positions 94 to 339 of the family's 1533-position model. Lineage: Bacteria; Bacillati; Bacillota; Bacilli; Lactobacillales; Lactobacillaceae. The record is from RNAcentral.
AGCGGCGGACGGGUGAGUAACACGUGGGCAACCUGCCCUGGAGCGGGGGAUAACAUCUGGAAACAGGUGCUAAUACCGCAUGACUACUAAAACCACAUGGUUUUCGUAUCAAAGAUGGUUUCGGCUAUCACUUUAGGAUGGGCCCGCGGUGCAUUAGCUAGUUGGUAAGGUAACGGCUUACCAAGGCGAUGAUGCAUAGCCGAGUUGAGAGACUGAUCGGCCACAUUGGGACUGAGACACGGCCCAAACUCC